RNAcentral lists this ribosomal RNA (696 nucleotides) under uncultured bacterium. RNAcentral's name for it is "bacterial SSU rRNA". It matches the Rfam family "Bacterial small subunit ribosomal RNA", at positions 32 to 715 of the family's 1533-position model. The record is from RNAcentral.
AACGCUAGCUACAGGCUUAACACAUGCAAGUCGAGGGGAAACGACAUCGAAAGCUUGCUUUUGAUGGGCGUCGACCGGCGCACGGGUGAGUAACGCGUAUCCAACCUGCCCACCACUUGGGGAUAACCUUGCGAAAGUAAGACUAAUACCCGAUGAUAUCUCUAGACGACAUCUGAAAGGGAUUAAAGAUUUAUCGGUGAUGGAUGGGGAUGCGUCUGAUUAGCUUGUUGGCGGGGUAACGGCCCACCAAGGCGACGAUCAGUAGGGGUUCUGAGAGGAAGGUCCCCCACAUUGGAACUGAGACACGGUCCAAACUCCUACGGGAGGCAGCAGUGAGGAAUAUUGGUCAAUGGGCGAGAGCCUGAACCAGCCAAGUAGCGUGCAGGAUGACGGCCCUAUGGGUUGUAAACUGCUUUUAUAAGGGAAUAAAGUGAGUCUCGUGAGGCUUUUUGCAUGUACCUUAUGAAUAAGGACCGGCUAAUUCCGUGCCAGCAGCCGCGGUAAUACGGAAGGUCCGGGCGUUAUCCGGAUUUAUUGGGUUUAAAGGGAGCGUAGGCCGGAGAUUAAGCGUGUUGUGAAAUGUAGACGCUCAACGUCUGCACUGCAGCGCGAACUGGUUUCCUUGAGUACGCACAAAGUGGGCGGAAUUCGUGGUGUAGCGGUGAAAUGCUUAGAUAUCACGAAGAACUCCGAUUG